RNAcentral lists this ribosomal RNA (465 nucleotides) under Vreelandella stevensii. RNAcentral describes it as "partial 16S ribosomal RNA". It matches the Rfam family "Bacterial small subunit ribosomal RNA", at positions 338 to 795 of the family's 1533-position model. Lineage: Bacteria; Pseudomonadati; Pseudomonadota; Gammaproteobacteria; Oceanospirillales; Halomonadaceae. The record is from RNAcentral.
CCUACGGGUGGCAGCAGUGGGGAAUAUUGGACAAUGGGCGAAAGCCUGAUCCAGCCAUGCCGCGUGUGUGAAGAAGGCCUUCGGGUUGUAAAGCACUUUCAGUGGGGAAGAAAGCCUUGGGGCUAAUACCCUCGAGGAAGGACAUCACCCACAGAAGAAGCACCGGCUAACUCCGUGCCAGCAGCCGCGGUAAUACGGAGGGUGCGAGCGUUAAUCGGAAUUACUGGGCGUAAAGCGAGCGUAGGCGGUCUGAUAAGCCGGUUGUGAAAGCCCCGGGCUCAACCUGGGAACGGCAUCCGGAACUGUCAGGCUAGAGUGCAGGAGAGGAAGGUAGAAUUCCCGGUGUAGCGGUGAAAUGCGUAGAGAUCAGGAAGAAUACCAGUGGCGAAGGCGGCCUACUGGACUGACACUGACGCUGAGGUGCGAAAGCGUGGGUAGCAAACAGGAUUAGAUACCCUGGUAGUC